This is a non-coding RNA of Orycteropus afer afer, 879 nucleotides long. Lineage: Eukaryota; Metazoa; Chordata; Mammalia; Tubulidentata; Orycteropodidae. The record is from the annotation of a RefSeq genome assembly.
AUGACAUGCCCUAGCCUGCUGUGGGCACUCCUGGUCUCCACCUAUCUCGGAUCCAGCAUGGCCCAGACAGUCACUCAGUCUCAACAGCAAUUAUCUGUCCAGGAGGCACAGUCAGUGACCCUGAGCUGCACAUAUGACAUUAGUGGUAGUAAUUACUACUUGUUCUGGUACAAACAGCCUCCCAGCGGGGAGAUGAUUUUCAUUAUUCGCCAAGAAGCUUUUAUUCAAAAGAACGCAACAGAGAAUCGCUUUUCUGUGAACUUCCAGCCAGCAGCCAAGUCCUUCAGCCUCAGGAUCUCAGACUCACAGCUGGGGGAUGCUGCGAUGUAUUUCUGUGCUCUCAAUGACCCACAAAUAUAUGGACAAGGAACCUACAGUAAGCUCAUCUUUGGAAAAGGAACCCGUGUGACUGUGGAACCAAAACAUCAGCCUCCCACCAAACCAUCUGUUUUUGUAAUGAAAAAUGGGACGAAAGUUGCUUGUCUGGUGAAGGAUUUCUAUCCCAAGGAUGUAAAAAUAAGUCUCAACUCAUCCAAGAAGAUAACAGAAUUUGACCCUGCUAUCGUCGUCUCUCCCAGUGGGAAGUACAGUGCUGUCAAGAUUGGCCAGUAUGAAGACUCAAACUCAGUGACAUGUUCAGUUCAACAUAACAAUGAAAUCUUGAACUCCACUGACUUUGAGCUGAAGACAAAUCAUUCAGGUACUCCAGAGCUAAUGAAACCUGAAAACAAAGAGCAAACUUCAGAGAGCUGCCAUCAACCCAAAGUUCAUGCCGGGAAGGUGAACAUGAUGUCUCUCACGCUGCUGGGACUAAGAAUGGUGCUUGCCAAGAGUGUUGCCAUCAACUUUUUCUUGACUGCCAAGUUAUUUUUCUUUUAA